RNAcentral lists this ribosomal RNA (301 nucleotides) under uncultured bacterium. Its description in RNAcentral is "partial 16S ribosomal RNA". It matches the Rfam family "Bacterial small subunit ribosomal RNA", at positions 509 to 807 of the family's 1533-position model. The record is from RNAcentral.
CAGUCGCCGCGGGAAUACGAAGGGUGCAAGCGUUAAUCGGAAUUACUGGGCGUAAAGCGUGCGUGGGCGGUUUGUUAAGUCUGUUGUGAAAUCCCCGGGCUCAACCUGGGAAUGGCAAUGGAUACUGGCAAGCUAGAGUGUGUCAGAGGAUGGUGGAAUUCCCGGUGUAGCGGUGAAAUGCGUAGAGAUCGGGAGGAACAUCAGUGGCGAAGGCGGCAACCUGGCUCAUUACUGACGCUGGGGCGCGAAAGCGUGGGGAGCAAACAGGAUUAGAUACCCCAGUAGUCCCUGUCUCUUAUAC